Molecule: ribosomal RNA, 464 nt
Filed under: uncultured Streptococcus sp.
Lineage: Bacteria; Bacillati; Bacillota; Bacilli; Lactobacillales; Streptococcaceae
Description: bacterial SSU rRNA
Rfam family: Bacterial small subunit ribosomal RNA
Source: RNAcentral
ACGGGGCCCGCACAAGCGGUGGAGCAUGUGGUUUAAUUCGAUGAUACGCGAAGAACCUUUACCGGGUCUUGACAUCCCCUGCAAAGCUAUGGAGACAUUAGUGGAGGUUAUCAGGGAGACAGGUGGUGCAUGGUUGUCGUCAGCUCGUGUCGUGAGAUGUUGGGUUAAGUCCCGCAACGAGCGCAACCCUUAUUGCUAGUUACCAUCAUUGAGUUGGGGACUCUAGCGAGACUGCCAGUGAUAAACUGGAGGAAGGUGGGAUGACGUCAAAUCAUCAUGCCCCUUAUGACCUGGGCUACACACGUGCUACAAUGGUUGGUACAACGAGUUGCGAGUCGGUGACGGCGAGCUAAUCUCUUAAAGCCAAUCUCAGUUCGGAUUGUAGGCUGCAACUCGCCUACAUGAAGUCGGAAUCGCUAGUAAUCGCGGAUCAGCACGCCGCGGUGAAUACGUUCCCGGGCCUU